Long non-coding RNA from Equus caballus (horse), 7875 nucleotides. The record is from Ensembl. Lineage: Eukaryota; Metazoa; Chordata; Mammalia; Perissodactyla; Equidae.
UCAUGUCAUACACAUUACUUUGUAUCCUUACUUCUCACUUAACAAUAUAACCCUGGUAAUCUUCCCGGAUCAAUAAAUCUACGUCUACAUCACCAUCGUGGUUUUUUAGAGUAUGUUUAAACAAUGAUCUAUGAAGAACUGGGCGACAGAUGUGAUUUGUAUUUAUUUGAUUACUAAAGAGGGCGAACAUCUUUUCACAUGUAUUGGCCGUUUUCCUUUCUUUUGUGAAUCGCAGUUCACAAGCUUUGUGUAUAUUUUAAAGGACCCUUCACUUUUUUCCUAUGGACUCGAAAACAUAUCCACUUUAUAUAUUACGGAUAACACAUUAGCAGGCACUUACACAGUUUAUACGCACCAAGCACUGUUCUAAGGACUCGUAACUUUCACUCGUGGGACGCUUACAAUAGUUCCACAAGGCAAGGAUUGUCAUAAUCCCCGUUAUCGGAUAAGCGAUUGGCCCAGCGGGGAAGAGGCAGACCUGGGAUUCAAGUCCUCGCUCUUAACCACUAGACGCUCCAGCUAAUGUUUUGCCUGUUAGAGAUUUCACAAAAUUGUGUUUCCAACUUCCUAACUUUCCGGGCUUCACUUAUCCGGCCAACUCCAUCAGUCCUUCCCCUCGCGGCCUUCGGGGCAGAACGGGGCCCGGGCGGGGCGGGGCGGCGUCUCCCAGCCGCCCGGCAGGCCCACCGGCUCUCGGGCGGGACCGGGACGCGCGCCGUUUGGAGGGUCGCGGCGCCGCAGGGGCCGCGGGGGCAAGUCCCCUCCGUCGCGGCGGCCCGGCGCCCCUGAGCUCGGACACCCCGCGGCGACCCGGCCGCCCCGGCCCCGGGCCCCCGCGCCCCGUCUUCCCCCGGAACUCCGGGUCCCCGGCUCCUCGUCCCCGCGGCCCACAGAACGGCUCCCGGGCGCCGCCCCCGCCCAGAGGACGGCCCCGAGGCCCCGACCGCGCGCUCCCCGGGCGCAGGGCCGUCCUAGCGGGCGUGGGGAGCCACGCUUCAGGCGACUCGAAACCAGGAGGAUUGAGGACUGCUUCGAAAGGCGGCUGCAGACGAAAGCCUCCAAAGCCUCGGGCGGCCGGCCGCCACGGCGGCGUCAUCCGCAGGAGGGGAAACUGAGGCACAGCGGGCCGGCCUUUGUGGGCGCACCGAGGACACGCCCCCAAGCCGGAGCGCGGCACCCGCCGCCCCGCGCGCCCUCGGCGGCCACGUGACGACGCCCGUCCAUCACGCGCGGGAGGCGGGACGCUGCCCCGCCACUCUCGCAGCCGUCCAAUAGGAAGCGGGGAGCAGGCAGGGAGGCGGCCCCGCGAGCCCCUCCCACGUUGGCGCCCCGCGCGGGGCGGGCCCAGCCGCCGCCCUCCAGUGGGGUCCCGGAUCGCCUGGCUCUGCUGAGGCGAAAGGGCAAGGCGCUCGUCAGUCAGGCGGCGCGGCCAAUGGGCUCGCGCGUUGCCCUCGCGCCCGCCCCCGCCUCGGCCUCCCGGCGCCCGCGCCGCCUUCCCUCAGGCCGCCGCGGCCCGCCCGCCCGCGCCUCCAUCUGGGUCCUCGCGCGCGGCUCUCGGGCGGCGGCGGACGGCGGCGGCGGGCGCGAGGACCCCGCUGUCCCCGCGGAAGACGACGGCGGGCGGCAGCCUUCUCCGCGAGCCUGAGGGAACCAGGAUUACCAGGAGAAAGCCUUCCUGUGGUGCUCAGCUGUGGUCCCUUUUCAACGUUCACCCUUGACGUUCUCUUCACUGUGGGAUGAGGUAGUAGGUUGUAUAGUUUUAGGGUCACACCCACCACUGGGAGAUAACUAUACAAUCUACUGUCUUUCCUAACGUGAUAGAAAAAUCUGCAUCCCAGCAGCCUCAUAGAAAGCUAAUAUAACUAGUUGUACAAUAUUUAGGAUUAACUUGUGUAAACCUGCUGUAGUGCAGCAUUUCUUUAUGGUGUGCAAGUUGCUUAUUCUUUUAGAGAGAAAAAACUUUAGCAAGUAGACUGGAUGGGGGUGCGGAUACUUUUUACUUCACAUUUCCGUAUGUCAGAAUAAGUGUAUAUUUUAUUUUGAUUGAUACUGUUGAUUUUGUGUUGUGUUUCCUUUUGAAAUAGAUGUGCUCUCCGUUCCAGAAGAAAAGAUUGCUCUGUCGGAGUGAGGUAGUAGAUUGUAUAGUUGUGGGGUAGUGAUUUUACCCUGUUCAGGAGAUAACUAUACAAUCUAUUGCCUUCCCUGAGGAGUGGACUUGCUGCAUUUUGUUUUUAUCUAGAUAGUAUUAAAACUCAGAAGAAUUAAUUUUGACAUUGUUUUGUAUUUACAGUUUGUUUACGCUAAGUGCUAAUUUUCUCUGUUCAAGUAUAGUGUACCUGUAAUAGACACAGUGAUCUAAGUUUUUAAUUUUCACAUAUGGUAUAUGUCAGAAAUCUGAAAUUAAGCAGAAAUCUCCAAGAGUGAAGAAGGUGAUCUUCAGGAAAUCUUAAUGGGGACUGGGCCCUUUUGGAAUUGUGAGUUGGUUUACUGCACUGCCUGCUGCUGCCUGUGUCCGGGGUGAGACCUGGGCGGUAAAGGUAAAUGCAACUGAAAAGACCCUGAGCUAAAACGGCGUCAGGGUGAUUGUGGUUCACGGCCCAGUUUGGGUUUGGGGUGGCCUUGGGCAGUGUGUAACCGCUUCUUCAUUGGUGUGUUGUUUUGGACGGCUUCACUCUCCAGCCUGGAAAAGGAGAGAUGGGCUCUGCGUUCUACCUAUGCUCCCUCGGAUGUCACGAAGACCUCACCUUUGCCCCAAAACCUGAAGUGGUCCUUCAUUCACAAAGGGGCAUCCCCUGAAGCUGACAGAUGGGGAAAUCCAUAGUUUAUUGUUUUAAAGAAAAUAUGAGGAUGAUGCUAGAAAGGCUUACUGGAGUUUUAACACCCAUGAUGGCCCAUGUCUCAGCUUUCUUCCAGUGGCCAAAUCACAUGCUGCCUGGCUCUUAUAAUCAAGCAAGGCGAAAAGCUCCCUGUUUUAAGUGCUUGCAGUUUAUUUUAUUUUGGGAGAAGAAAAAAGGCAAAAUGUGGAGGUGAAGGAGAGGUGACCUCUUCCCAAAUAUUUCCAUUGAUCAUGAAUCUUAAUAUCUAAGAUAACCACAGUGUAUGCUAUUGGCAGUAGGAACUUGGCGUGAGAGAAACAUCAAAUUCUCUCUUGGAUGGGCCCAACCCAGAUGAGUUAUCCUGGGUCAGAUUUUUGCCUUGUUUUAUCCCUGGCAUACAAAUGGACACUUACGUGAUCCAGAAUUGGUCUGUCUUAUAAACUGGACAUGUAAAUAUUGGGGGAAAUAAUCAUUUUUACAUUCAUUGCCUUUUGGUGUGCCAAAGAAAAGUGGGAAUGUUUGAGAAAUUCUUUGGCUUAAUCUUUGUUAAACCGACAAGUUAGAUGACUCUCCUCUUCAUUGUGUGGCCAGUACAGUCGUGGAGUUUUGUGGUUUCCCAAUAUUUCCCUACAUUUUGUAAAAAACACUUGAGUACCUUUAUGUGGAGAAUGUGACAGUCUCUAAAAGCUUGUUUUUGAUGGCAACAUCAAAAAUUGUGGUACCAAUUUGCUUCCAUUUAUUCAUUCAAAGGUCAAAAACUUAAAUACUUGGGUCCAAGAGGAGCUGGCUGUAACUAGGAAACAUCUACAGGGCACAGGCAGUAAGUUAAUUUGUACCAGUUGAUGGUGGCAAGCAGGAUAUUUAUACAUAGUGUCACCUAAUUUUCCAGUUUAUCAAGAGGGAGAUUUUAUGAAAUUUGAUAUUUAAAUUUUCGUGCAAAGUUUAAUGUUUUAAAAAGUCUGUGACUCCAACAGUGUAUCAUGGGCUGGGUAUUAGGCUUCUGGUUUGCAUCCUCUGACAUAAUUGAAUUACUUACUGUUCCUUUGUAACGAGGUUUGAUUUUAAGCAAAUGAAGUUGUGGUUUUUAACCAAGGUCUUAUGGCCAGGAACUUUUUAAAAGCAUCAGUGAAAGAAUUCCAUUUGGUUUGAAUUUGAAAUAAAACCCAAAGAAUAUGGCCUAAUUUAACAGGUUAAUUUGAAGUGCAUCUGCCAAGUAGAAGACCGGCAAGAAAAAAAAUGGGUUCCUAGGAAGAGGUAGUAGGUUGCAUAGUUUUAGGGCAGGGAUUUUGCCCACAAGGAGAUAACUAUACGACCUGCUGCCUUUCUUAGGGCCUGAUUAUUCCACGGUCACCUGUUUCCUUGCUGCCUUGCUUUGGUGUAAGCAGAGUUCCUUCUGCAGGUUUUCUCAUAAAUGAAAACAUUGCAGGAAUACCAAAGGAAGCAAUACUUGCAUUCGUGGUUUAUGAACAGCAGCAUGGUACCAGCGUUGAUUACUAAGUCAUCCGAUGAGAAUUUAAGGCUUCUGAAGUGUACCUAGUUGCUUAUGUGUCUCACUGAGGGUUGCUGGGAGUUUUGGAGAGUAUUGUUUUUUAUUUUUGUCAAGUUCCUUUUUCUGAUCUGGAGACUGCCAGCUCUUUUCCCCUCAGUAGCCUCUGUUAGACCUGAAAGAUGUUUAACAAUACUAUUGAAAUAUUUUGCUGUACAAAAAUAUUUUCCUACACUGUAUUUGUAAAUAUUUAUCUUGCUAAGUUUCUGGGUUUCUUUGUCUUCUGGACUUGAAAUGUGGGUCAGUUCUGGUGGAAUUGCAUAUUGUGGGAAUCCAUCAUUGCAUUGAGCGCCCAUUAUGGUAUGUAACCCUGUGGUUGAAUCUGUUUAAUGUGUAUGAGGCCUAGAAGGUCAACAAAAUGAAAAUGGUUGUAAGGUAGUGGAGUUACUAUAAUUUGCUAACCAUCUUUGCAAUAAAAAUACUACUUGAAAAUUGUGCUUCUUAAAUCAUUCUUAACUUUCAUCUCCAUCCUUGCAGAACUAGGUACAUUUUUUAAGUAUUUAGACUUGUUUUAAGAUCUGUUAAAGUACUCACUUUGAUUUUUUAUUAGCAGUAAUUUGCUGAUUGUACUGUCAUUCACAGAUGUAUAUUCAUGAAGCUAACUCCAGCCGUAUCCCACUCUUACAUUUUGUAAACGCUUGUGUCUUUGUACACACAAUUACAUCUGCUCAGGACACACUGCUUUCUUAAAGUAAUUCUCAUUCUUAGUCUGCUCAGGCAGACACUACCUUACAAAAACUUUCCAUUAUCUCUCCUCAGUUCCCCAGUCUGGUGCAAACAUUUGUCACAGUAAGAAUGGUGCUGAGCCUGGGAUGUGUGCAUUAGCAUUAAUUCUUUUCAAACUAUUUUGAACAGUAAUAUAUUUAAAAGACUUAGGUGAAAUGGUUGAAAGGGGAUUCAGUACAGCUUCCUAUCUUGUUCCCUCUCCUUAGAGGAUGUUCCAGUGGGAGGAAGGUCAGGAGGUGCAAUCUAGGCAUGUCCUGCUCCUCUGCCACGUGGGGCUUUAAGUUUCCUCUGUAAGUUGAGAUAGUUGGUUAUGGCUUCUAAGGCACCUUUCGCAUUGUGCAGCCCUUUAAAAUCAGAGUUUAAAGAUUUCGAUUCAUGAGUAGCAGAACUAUAUCAGUUUCAUGUACUGUACACAGAUUUGAGUGGAAAUGCAUAGGAAAAGAACAAGGAAUUGAAAGUGAUACUGGCUAUAGUAGGAUUAGGGAUGAUUUUUUAAAUCAGUAUUGCAAAUUUUCUAUAGUUUUGCUUGUAGAAGUAUUCUAAAUCUCUAACAUCUUCCUUAUUAAAGUAUUUGGACCUCACUACUUGGCCCUCAUUUUUUCCCCAUUUCAUUCAACUAACUUUCCAGAUUGUUCUUUAUGUUUCCUAGUUUGCCUUCCACUUUUGGGGAGGGGAGGGGAGGAGAGCUGAGGAGCCCUCUGGGAAUUGGACGUAAUGCCUUCAGCAGUGUUUGCUGAUUGAUUGGCCCGCCUGAAGGAAGCAUCUGCUGUGUUCUGACUCCUUGGGAAUCUGAAAUCUUGCUUAUUGCUUGAAACCCAUAAUUUAGAAUUUUAGUUUAACUUAAAGGCAUUUUUCCUUAAGAGAGCCUGAUGUAAUUUCAUUGAACUGCUGUUAUCAGAAGAAGAAGAGCGGGUUAGAUGAACUAGUGUUUUAAAUAAUGGAGGCUGCCCAGUGCUGGUAUGCAAGCAUGACCAGUGUCCUAGAUCCUUUAUACCUUUUUUUUUUCUUUGCUGAGGAAGAUUAGCCUUGAGCUAACAUCUUUGCCAGUCUUCCUCCACUUAUUAUAUGUGGGUUGCUGCCACAGCGUGGCCAACAGGUGGUGUAGGUCUGUGCCCAAGAUCCAAACCCACAAACUUAGGCUGCUGAAGGGAGCACGCAAACUUAACAACUACGCCACAGGGCCAGCCCUCUUUUUAGCUUCUCCGCCAUCUGUAGCACACCCUUUCCAUUCUCAAGGUCACGUUUUUGUCACAACAUGUCUGCUAUUAACUGGCCGUCACCCUUUUUCCAGACACAAAGAUGUAAGGGGAAGGGCAGGCGCAUUUCAGCCAUCAAAUCUGGUUGAAGUGUUUUCUCAGCAGCGUCUCCUAGUGACUCCUUUUCCACUCACCAGUUGGUGCUGUCGCCCUGCUGUGGCUGCAAGGAAGAUUGGGAAGUGGCUUACCAGGCCAAUUGCCAGGCUGAGUAGAAUUGGUUCCACUAGUAGGGAGAUGGGAGAAAGCGAAGCAAAGGGUAUUAGGAUAAAACUUGGCAUGAGGAAGACCAGUGGGCUCUGUUCCGUCCCUGCCAUUACCACUUGUGCAGCCUCAGUUGGGCAGGCCUUCCCAGCCCUCUGGGCAUGGUGAGGAAUUCUCAGCUGACUGGAGGGGUUCAGUCAGAAGGGCUGCAUGGGGCUUUUCCAUCUGAGCAGAGAGCACGUUAGGAGGCCAAUGUGCACCCUGCGAUGUGUAUUACCUCUAGCACAGAGACCCGUACAGGACUGGAACUAAACACAUCUAUUUCUCAAAUUAACAAACUAUUUAGAGCAGUUUUUGGUUCAUGGCAAAAUUAAGCAAAAGGCACAGUACACGUACACCUUGUCGCCACCCCCGCAAACUUCCCCAGUAUUGACAUCCUAACCACUGAUAUGUUUUUGGUUUGAGGGGGGUGGUUUGUGAGGAAGAUUGGCCCUGAGCUAACAUCCGUUGCCCAUCCUCUUUUUUUUUUUUUUUGCUUGAGGAAGAUUGUUGCUGAGCUAACGUCUAUGCCAGUCUUCCUCUACUUUGUCCGUGGGAUGCCUCCACAGUGUGGCUGAAGAGUGGAGUAGGUCCACACCUGGGAUACGAACCCACGAACCUCGGCCACCAAAGCGGGCCAUGGAACUUCAACCACUUGGCCAUGGGGAUGGCCCCACUGACCACAGUGAGCUGCUGCAGCCAUCUUGUGACCAUGAGAGGGACAGAGCGAGGUCACUGCCAGCCUGGAGUUCUGACAACAUUGAGCUGUUGAGCCAUUGCCAGCAUUUGCCCACCUCCACACUUCAAAUUAUGUGAGAAAAAGGAACUACCUCACAGUGUGUGGGUGUGCUGUUACUUGCAGAGGACAGCUCCCCUCACAGGAUCCUUCCUAUCUCAGGGAAGGCUAAGGAGAGGUCUUAAGUGUGCUCAAGUGAGGGACGAGUGAAGGUGCUGAGGCCAUCAGGUAGGAAGGAGCCUCUUGGCUGGGAGAAGGGUGAUAGAGACUGGAUCUCUGGCAUCUGGAGGCCACGGCAGGACCUGAACAUGAGCACAGCAUGUAGUGGGGAAAGGCUGACGCCAAAGACUAUGUUUCAGAAACCUGGGUCUUAGAAGCAGCAGCCAGCAAGGACCACGCCCGGACAGCAUGUGGACCAGACACCGCUCCCUUGUGCUGAGAUGUUAGCCCUUUGGAAACGUCACCCUCAGGGAGGAAAUGGCGCCGGGGGAGGACCUUGAAUUUGAUAGACUACUAAAACAUAAUUACCUUAAAUGGAUGACAUUUCAGUUUCCU